AUGGUGUCGCGACUGCAUAAAGCUCGCCGACGCUGCAACCGGCGUCAACGCUGCAAUCAAGAGGUCUUGCCGGCGGCAGAUGCUGCAAUGAAGCGCUGCCUACGCUGCAAUGGAGCCUCGCCGGACUGCGUUGAAGCUUUUGCCACGCCGCCGGGGCUACAAUGGAGCGCCACCGGGGUUGCAAUGGAGCACGGCGGGGGCUGUGGAAGCUGUGAUGGUGAUGCAAUGGAGCUCCAUCGGGGCUGCAGUGGAGCUUCGCCGGACACCGGCAUUGCUGCUAUGAGUUUUUUGUCUGGCCGCGUGGUGCACCAUAGUAGCUGCAAUGGAGCUUCACGGGGUGUCUUUAGUGCUGCGUUGAAACUAGUGUUUGCUCGGUGCUGA
Molecule: ribosomal RNA, 381 nt
Filed under: Triticum aestivum (bread wheat)
Lineage: Eukaryota; Viridiplantae; Streptophyta; Magnoliopsida; Poales; Poaceae
Description: partial small subunit ribosomal RNA
Source: RNAcentral